AGACCCGAAACCCGGUGAUCUAGCCAUGGGCAGGUUGAAGGUUGGGUAACACUAACUGGAGGACCGAACCGACUAAUGUUGAAAAAUUAGCGGAUGACCUGUGGCUGGGGGUGAAAGGCCAAUCAAACCGGGAGAUAGCUGGUUCUCCCCGAAAGCUAUUUAGGUAGCGCCUCGUGAAUUCAUCUCCGGGGGUAGAGCACUGUUUCGGCUAGGGGGCCAUCCCGGCUUACCAACCCGAUGCAAACUGCGAAUACCGGAGAAUGUUAUCACGGGAGACACACGGCGGGUGCUAACGUCCGUCGUGAAGAGGGAAACAACCCAGACCGCCAGCUAAGGUCCCAAAGUCAUGGUUAAGUGGGAAACGAUGUGGGAAGGCCCAGACAGCCAGGAUGUUGGCUUAGAAGCAGCCAUCAUUUAAAGAAAGCGUAAUAGCUCACUGGUCGAGUCGGCCUGCGCGGAAGAUGUAACGGGGCUAAACCAUGCACCGAAGCUGCGGCAGCGAACGUAUCACUUAAAGCGAUUCAGCGGGUUACGAUUGACGGAGCGAAGCGACGUCAAAGCGUAUACAAAGUCGAGUCGGUUUAAGGAUACGUUCGUUGGGUAGGGGAGCGUUCUGUAAGCCUGUGAAGGUGUGUCGUGAGGCAUGCUGGAGGUAUCAGAAGUGCGAAUGCUGACAUAAGUAACGAUAAAGCGGGUGA
This 698-nucleotide ribosomal RNA is filed under the name Salmonella enterica subsp. enterica serovar Infantis. Its description in RNAcentral is "partial 23S ribosomal RNA". It matches the Rfam family "Bacterial large subunit ribosomal RNA", at positions 711 to 1324 of the family's 2925-position model. RNAcentral also lists the same sequence under 1 other name. The record is from RNAcentral. Lineage: Bacteria; Pseudomonadati; Pseudomonadota; Gammaproteobacteria; Enterobacterales; Enterobacteriaceae.